AGCGUGCACACAUUGUGUGCCGCCAAAGGGUCCUUGAGCUCUCUUAGGCAAAACGGAUGCGCGCGACAAGACAAGGUCUUUUUACAACCACCGAUGUCGCGACGUCCGUCGCCGGAGACUCGCUUUUGCGCCAGCCGCGCGACGAGGCACGGGAGGCCAGUUUCCGCCCCCAAACCGGAGCUCCUAGAGGAGUGAGUGGUCGGGGGCAACACGAUGCGUGACACCCAGGCAGACGUGCCCUCAGCCAUAGGCUUCGGGCGCAACUUGCGUUCAAAGACUCGAUGGUUCACGGGAUUCUGCAAUUCACACCAAGUAUCGCAUUUCGCUACGUUCUUCAUCGAUGCGAGAGCCGGGAUAUCCGUUGUCGAGAGUCGUUUGUGUUUCGGAAUGACACCACUGCCCGCUAACGGGAAGGGGACGUCAAUUCGGUUUUAUUUUCCUUGGCGCAUUCCGCGCCCGGAUGAUUUCAUUGGCCGGUGGCCACUGGAGAGGGGCCACCUACCAGGGGUUCGCACACGAGGAACCGAAUCCCCGUGAGCUUGCCCGAUGUGUUUACGAGUUAGCGGGUCGUGCUGCUAUCGCAGGC
This 586-nucleotide unclassified non-coding RNA is filed under the name Bunium sp. EM410. RNAcentral's name for it is "sequence contains ITS1, 5.8S rRNA gene, ITS2". The record is from RNAcentral. Lineage: Eukaryota; Viridiplantae; Streptophyta; Magnoliopsida; Apiales; Apiaceae.